CUACGGGAGGCAGCAGUCGAGAAUCUUUUGCAAUGCGCGAAAGCGUGACAAUGCGACGCCGUGUGAGUGAUGAAGGUCUUCGGAUUGUAAAACUCUGUCAACCUGGAUGAAAGCUUCAAUUCUAACAGAUAUGAAGUUUGACGGUACAGGUAGAGGAAGCCACGGCUAACUCCGUGCCAGCAGCCGCGGUAAUACGGAGGUGGCAAGCGUUGUUCGGAUUUAUUGGGUGUAAAGGGUAUGUAGGUGUCUUGGUAAGUCUUCCUUGAAAUAUAUCGGCUCAACCGGUAUCCCGGGGAGGAAACUACUAGGAUUGAGUACUGGAGAGGAAAGCGGAAUUCCUGGUGUAAGGGUGAAAUCUGUAGAUAUCAGGAGGAACACCAACGGCGAAAGCAGCUUUCUGGCCAGAUACUGACACUGAAAUACGAAAGCUAGGGUAGCAAACAGGAUUAGAUACCCUCGUAGUC
This 464-nucleotide ribosomal RNA is filed under the name uncultured bacterium. Its description in RNAcentral is "partial 16S ribosomal RNA". It matches the Rfam family "Bacterial small subunit ribosomal RNA", at positions 339 to 795 of the family's 1533-position model. The record is from RNAcentral.